UGGGGAAUAUUGGACAAUGGGGGCAACCCUGAUCCAGCCAUGCCGCGUGAGUGAUGAAGGCCUUCGGGUUGUAAAGCUCUUUUGGCGGGGACGAUAAUGACGGUACCCGCAGAAUAAGCCCCGGCUAACUUCGUGCCAGCAGCCGCGGUAAUACGCAGGGGGCUAGCGUUGUUCGGAAUUAUUGGGCGUAAAGGGCGCGUAGGCGGCCUGACCAGUCAGAUGUGAAAGCCCCGGGCUUAACCCGGGAAUGGCGUUUGAUACUGUCAGGCUCGAAUUCGGGAGAGGUUGGUGGAAUUCCCAGUGUAGAGGUGAAAUUCGUAGAGAUUGGGAAGAACACCCGUGGCGAAGGCGGCCAACUGGACCGACAUUGACGCUGAGGCGCGAAAGCGUGGGGAGCAAACA
RNAcentral lists this ribosomal RNA (402 nucleotides) under uncultured prokaryote. RNAcentral's name for it is "bacterial SSU rRNA". It matches the Rfam family "Bacterial small subunit ribosomal RNA", at positions 355 to 774 of the family's 1533-position model. The record is from RNAcentral.